RNAcentral lists this ribosomal RNA (274 nucleotides) under uncultured bacterium. Its description in RNAcentral is "partial 16S ribosomal RNA". It matches the Rfam family "Bacterial small subunit ribosomal RNA", at positions 523 to 796 of the family's 1533-position model. The record is from RNAcentral.
AUACGGAGGGGGCUAGCGUUGUUCGGAAUUACUGGGCGUAAAGCGCACGUAGGCGGAUUAAAAAGUUAGAGGUGAAAUCCCAGGGCUUAACCCUGGAACUGCCUUUAAAACUAGUAGUCUAGAGUUCGAGAGAGGUGAGCGGAAUUCCAAGUGUAGAGGUGAAAUUCGUAGAUAUUUGGAGGAACACCAGUGGCGAAGGCGGCUCACUGGCUCGAUACUGACGCUGAGGUGCGAAAGCGUGGGGAGCAAACAGGAUUAGAAACCCCAGUAGUCC